GGACAAGUUCCCUGGAUAGAAUGGCACUCACAGAUUUGACCCACUAGGUCCAUGAUUUUUAAUCUUUGGUGGGUAUCCAAGUGCUUGGUUCCCACUUCAGGUCUGCCGAUUCAAGCCUGCAUGACAGAGUGAGAACCUGUCUCAAAAAAACAAAAAACAAAAAACAAACCCCAGACCUGCUGAUUUAGUACCUGUAUGGGUGCUUAGAUCUACUUGGUUUUGGGUUCUAGGCCCACCACUAAAUGAUCAGAUGUGUGACCUUUGGUAUGUUUCUUAACCUCUGUAAGUCUAUUCAUUCAACUACAAAAGAGACAAGAUGCUUGACUUAGAGCAUGGUUUUGAGGAAUGAAUUAGAUAAUUUACUCAUGCAUCUGGCCUAGGUGAGUGUUCUAUAAAUAUAGUAGGCUGGAAUGUUCUUCCAUGAGAUAUCAACAUCUCCUUUAGGUCUCUUAUCGGUGAGGCCACACCCUCCUUUUAAAAUUGGCUUGCACAGGGCAAAGAGUUGGGUCCAGGGCUUUUAUAAACAUUUAAAAAAUUAUAAAUAUUAACUUUCAUAUUUUAUAAAAUUGUAUAUUUUAUACACACUAAUUACUGCAUGCUUAGCAAGCUUAGUUCAAUCACCUGCCUAUCACAGUCCCAAGUACACACAGAUAGAAGCAAGGGCUCUGUGUAGUAAAUUGCUUUGGCUGUCUUACCGCGGUGCUCAUAAGUAUGUUUUGCUUAGAAACUGCUCCACUGGCAAGGCAUAACAAUGAAGUUAAGCAAAUGUUUUGCUGGUCUCUGAGGCCCUGUCAGGUCAGUGGACUACUGCUUAUGUUUGUAAGAAUAGUCUCUUCAUGUCUAUUUAGAGACAUGGCCUGCUACCCAAUUCCCCAAGCCCAAGUGAUAAAGCGUUUUGAGUCUUUGAAUUACUUAGCUUGUUGCCUCAGUUGCCUUCUGGGUGUUCUUCUGGUAACAGCCUAUUUGAUGGAUGUGAAUUUAAUUUCUCAAACCCAUUAGGAUGAUUUAGUUAUGACUUGGAAUCUUGGAAUGCCAUCAAAUAUGGCCUUUAAAAAUUUAAGUAAUUUUGUCCACAGUUGAAUUAAGAAAAAAAAACAACUCACCUCAUUGUAUACAAAGAAAAGAAGCUCCUUCAAUAUUUUUCACUAUUAAGUAGAUUAAAGUGGUAAGAACACAAAAGUGAAAACAAACACAUUCAUAGAAAUGCCUUUGAAAGCCCCUUAGGAUCUGUUUUCACAGAGAAAAUGAAUGUUAGAGUAUUAUAUGUAGCUUUUCCCUCCAUUCUGGUUUUCCUGUAAGCAGCUGCCCAAAAUUUCAACAUGACUACUGAGACUUAGUAGGGCUGACUUGAAUUGAGAUUAAUUACUUCUUGGUUGGAUGAGAUGCCCAACGAAGGUGGGACUGGGAUCAGGGUCUGUGAGAAUGAAUAUUAAAUAACACAGUAGCAUAAAGCAAGCAGCAUCACGUGGAAUAGCCCUUGCCUGUUACUCCUGAACAAUCCAAUGCAUCUGAUAAAUUACACUCUCAAAUUCCUUUGUUAGGAUGUUGUAAUUACUGACUAAUUAAAAAAUAGUCUAGUUUGGUUGUCUUCAUUAAAAAUUUUGCGAACAAUUAAUAAGAAAUAGAAAUUAAAUGGUUGGUACUACUCAGAUAUCUCCUUUCCCAAACCAGGUACCACAGCGUUAGUCUUUUUCAUAUCAAUUUAAUUGGUUUUAUUCAUUUCAGGAAACUAAUUUUACAACAGAAGUAAAGCUUUUAAAUACAAUUUCUGAUACAUAUCAAGUAUGAGAAAUUUGGCUAACCAAACUUUAAUGCUUUAUAAACAUGUAAGCAAAACCAAAUGUGAGAUCAAUCCCAUUAGGAUGUAAAUUUAUCAACAUUUCUAGACAAA
RNAcentral lists this long non-coding RNA (1891 nucleotides) under Homo sapiens (human). RNAcentral's name for it is "non-protein coding lnc-DMRT2-3:1". The record is from RNAcentral. Lineage: Eukaryota; Metazoa; Chordata; Mammalia; Primates; Hominidae.